Molecule: long non-coding RNA, 784 nt
Filed under: Nicotiana benthamiana
Lineage: Eukaryota; Viridiplantae; Streptophyta; Magnoliopsida; Solanales; Solanaceae
Description: long non-coding RNA (NBEN_LNC012843)
Source: RNAcentral
AGUUUGAAAAGAUUUUAUUCCAUAUAUCAAGCAAAUAAUUAAUAAGUUGAUCAUUAACCUUAAAUAUAAUUUUCGUACAUAAAUUGAAAGGUGGUAUACUUAAAUGUAAUAAACACAAACCUUAAACAUGAGUGAUAAUAAGGUUUGCUAUAUGAUAUGUAUAUGUAAAAAUCCCUUUUUAAAAUCAAGUUGAAAUUUCGUUUGGUUUAUGGUUAUAAGGUUUGCUAUGGGAUGUAUAUGUAAAAAUCCCUUUUAAAAAAACACAAUCUGAAAUCCGAUCUAAGAAAUUGAAUGGACGGCCAUUGUAUGGCUUGUGGCGCAGAAUUCUGCAUUCUUAAACAGCAAUGAGGGGCCUUAAUGCUAGCAGUUUCAGUUUUGACUCUUCAGCCGAAGCUCAAAUAUGCAUGUUAUCAGCUGCUAAUCCAGCCAGCUGCCAGCAUCUUUGCUUGCAGUCACGAAUCAACAAGUGAAUGAACCGGUUUUUCACUUCCAUCUAAAUUAAUUUCAUUACUCCACUUAAUAAAAGGAUUAACACACAACAAAUAAUUUGUAGAACACGAAUUUACCUAAAAAGACUAUUACAGGGGGCAUCCACUUAAUAUCGGAAAUAACCAAUACAAAGUCCGAAAUUUCAGUCAGCUUAUUCAGCAAACACUUUCUCCUAAUGUCCACUAUAACAACUCGGAUUACACAUAUCAAAGCUCAUCAUCUCAUGGAAACUAUCCCUAUGCCAGAAAAUAAUGAUGAUUCUUUUAUGUGAUGUCUCAUGUCCAAGUCAAGUUAU